This 779-nucleotide unclassified non-coding RNA is filed under the name Cantharellaceae sp. 2512 CG-2012. RNAcentral describes it as "sequence contains ITS1, 5.8S rRNA gene, ITS2". The stretch from base 344 to 546 matches the Rfam family "5.8S ribosomal RNA". The record is from RNAcentral. Lineage: Eukaryota; Fungi; Basidiomycota; Agaricomycetes; Cantharellales; Hydnaceae.
UCACUGAGCCAAUUUGCAGGUCCUUUGGGCUGCACAGGCUUUUGUCUCUCUUUCUUGAUCAAGGCAUUUAUUAUAGUGGAGGGCCCCCCCUUCAUUUGUUUAAAUGCCUUCCACGUUAAAAGUGGAUUGUGGUGAUUUGGGAUCAUCAGUUGUUUUAAUGGUUAUUGCCCUUUGAGCUCAUGAUGCCAACUUUUGUGAGUCUUGGAAAAAUAAAAUAAAAUGGCAUGCCCUCGCAAUGUUGGUCAUUGAGGAGGGAUUGGAUUGUGUAGAGACAAUCCUAAGAAUUGAGAUUGAUUUUUGAGAGUUGGCACUCAGUAUCAUCUCUUGAGAGUUACUUUUUUACAACUUUCAGCAAUGGAUCUCUUGGUUCUUGCAUCGAUGAAGAACGCAGUGAAAUGCGAUAAUUGGUGUGAAUUGCAUCCAAGUAACUCUAAUUUACGAAUAACACCAAGUGAAUCAUCGAGUCUUUGAACGCAAUUGCGCCCUCUCGGUUGCUUCCAAUUCUUUGGGGGUUGACUCGUAGGGGGUACAUUUGUUUGAGGGUCAUUUGAUCUCUCAAAGGAUAGGUUUAUCCUAUCCUUUGGAUUUUUGGGUCUUGCCGUGAAUAUUGCUUCUUGGCUUACCUUGAAACUAUUAGCAAGCUUUGUUUGGGUCAUGUUGAAUGAGGCGUUUUAAUGGAUUCCAAUUGACGACUCUCAAUGUGAUGAAAGACUUGCUUCCAAUCAUCCCAUUGAAGGGAUAUUAUUGGCUCUCAAUAAUGAGUUCCAAAAUGGAUAAUG